RNAcentral lists this ribosomal RNA (447 nucleotides) under uncultured bacterium. Its description in RNAcentral is "bacterial SSU rRNA". It matches the Rfam family "Bacterial small subunit ribosomal RNA", at positions 331 to 792 of the family's 1533-position model. The record is from RNAcentral.
CCAGACUCCUACGGGAGGCAGCAGUGGGGAAUAUUGGACAAUGGGGGGAACCCUGAUCCAGCGACGCCGCGUGAGUGAAGAAGUAUUUCGGUAUGUAAAGCUCUAUCAGCAGGGAAGAAAGAAAUGACGGUACCUGACUAAGAAGCCCCGGCUAACUACGUGCCAGCAGCCGCGGUAAUACGUAGGGGGCAAGCGUUAUCCGGAUUUACUGGGUGUAAAGGGAGCGUAGACGGCGAUGCAAGUCUGAAGUGAAAGGCGGGGGCCCAACCCCCGGACUGCUUUGGAAACUGUAUGGCUGGAGUGCAGGAGAGGUAAGUGGAAUUCCUAGUGUAGCGGUGAAAUGCGUAGAUAUAAGGAAGAACACCAGUGGCGAAGGCGGAUGACUGGACGGCAACUGACGGUGAGGCGCGAAAGCGUGGGGAGCAAACAGGAUUAGAUACCCGAGUA